UACGUAGGGUGCGAGCGUUGUCCGGAAUUAUUGGGCGUAAAGAGCUCGUAGGCGGUCUGUCGCGUCGGUCGUGAAAACUUGGGGCUUAACCCUGAGCUUGCGGUCGAUACGGGCAUGACUGGAGUUCGGCAGGGGAGACUGGAAUUCCUGGUGUAGCGGUGGAAUGCGCAGAUAUCAGGAGGAACACCGAUGGCGAAGGCAGUUCUCUGGGCCGUAACUGACGCUGAGGAGCGAAAGCGUGGGGAGCGAACAGG
RNAcentral lists this ribosomal RNA (254 nucleotides) under uncultured bacterium. RNAcentral describes it as "partial 16S ribosomal RNA". It matches the Rfam family "Bacterial small subunit ribosomal RNA", at positions 524 to 776 of the family's 1533-position model. The record is from RNAcentral.